Osmia lignaria (orchard mason bee) is the source of this 1362-nucleotide non-coding RNA. Lineage: Eukaryota; Metazoa; Arthropoda; Insecta; Hymenoptera; Megachilidae. The record is from RefSeq and is a predicted model, not a curated record.
ACCGCGGACACUAAAAAUGGCGACUCAUCGGUAACAAAGGCAUGUUUAGUUUUCUUGUUGUAGUCACUGAGUGGAGUUUGAAGUUUGAAGGGCCUGGAUUACCCGUAGGCUACGGGUCGUAGCGGUUAUUAUUAUUAGAGUCGUAUUCAAAAACGAAAAUUACCUUAAUCUUUAGUCGAUUUAACCGAAGGGACAGAAAAACAAAAAUAUAGAAAUAAAGUUGAGAAUACGAGUGAAUUAUGCGUGUUCUUCUGAAAUGCUCGCCCACUCAUAGCACAAGCUAUAAAUCAUAUUAUGAAGUUAGAACACCAUAUCUACCACCUUUUAUACCACCAUCAGUUAUAGAAAAUAUUUCCAAGAGAUCAAAAAGGUGUAAAUUGCCAGAUACAUCUCCAUUAUCGCAUGAAUUAUUUGAUCAUGAAACACAGGCUAUGAGAUUAGCGGCAGAUGGAAAGUCACCAAUUUGGUAUUGUUUACAAGUAAUGAAUUAUUAUCAGUUUGAGAAGGAACCGAAACCUAGGUUCACCUAUUCGAGGGAUGUAGAUACUGAUUUGAUUACUGCAAGUGUUCGUUUAAGUAGUGGUAACAUAUUUAUCGGUGAUCCUUGUGAAGAUUAUGAAAAAGCAUUAGGGAGUGCUGCAAAGAAAGCUUACGAGACAUGUUUAUUUUCAAUAGGAAGAUGAAGAACUUAGUUCAUUCUACCGGAAACAUUUUGAGUCUACCCUUUCCACAACCUUUCGGUCUUGAUAGACAAAAUAUCGAUACAUAAGGAUCUAUCACCAUCUUUUUCACGAACACCCAUGUUACUAAAGGAACUACAGUGGCAUAGAAGACAGUUGCUGGAAGAAGUUCGUCGCUCAACUGAAUGGGAAACGAAUACGUUUGAAAGGAACGUUUUAAUUUAAUUUUUAACGCAACUCCUGUUGGCACUCCGGCGCAUACUGUGGCGAAAAUUUUACUGUGACGUGAAAUCUUCUUCUCUGCUCCAUAUUCAACGGUCACUCCGAACGUGCCAACCCUGUCGAUUGAAAAAUAUGAAGAUUAAAGAACGAAUCUAAGAAGAGAACAAGGUUAAGAUACAUACAGUUACUUUAUUAUUAAAUAAUUUACUGAUAAGUACUAACUUCACACCUCCUCGCAGUUUCAUUCCCCUCUCUUCCAUCUUGUGAGUGUAAUUAAGACUAAGAAACGACCGCUGAAUACCAAAUUGUAAUCGAAACGAUGUAUAAGAUCUAGAAGUGUCUCUUACGAUCGCUGUACUCAUCGCGCUUUCUGGACCUGCAUUGUACGUAAGCUGCCCUAUAGUAUGGGUAUCUAACUCCAUCGACAAGGCUGCAAUUAUAAUUUGUAUAAGAAACUGUA